UGGGGAAUAUUGCACAAUGGGCGCAAGCCUGAUGCAGCCAUGCCGCGUGUAUGAAGAAGGCCUUCGGGUUGUAAAGUACUUUCAGCGGGGAGGAAGGGAGUAAAGUUAAUACCUUUGCUCAUUGACGUUACCCGCAGAAGAAGCACCGGCUAACUCCGUGCCAGCAGCCGCGGUAAUACGGAGGGUGCAAGCGUUAAUCGGAAUUACUGGGCGUAAAGCGCACGCAGGCGGUUUGUUAAGUCAGAUGUGAAAUCCCCGGGCUCAACCUGGGAACUGCAUCUGAUACUGGCAAGCUUGAGUCUCGUAGAGGGGGGUAGAAUUCCAGGUGUAGCGGUGAAAUGCGUAGAUAUAUGGAGGAACACCAGUGGCGAAGGCGGCUCUCUGGUCUGUAACUGACGCUGAGGCUCGAAAGCGUGGGGAGCAAACAGG
This 429-nucleotide ribosomal RNA is filed under the name Chloroflexota bacterium. Its description in RNAcentral is "Chloroflexi bacterium partial 16S ribosomal RNA". It matches the Rfam family "Bacterial small subunit ribosomal RNA", at positions 355 to 776 of the family's 1533-position model. The record is from RNAcentral. Lineage: Bacteria; Bacillati; Chloroflexota.